RNAcentral lists this ribosomal RNA (433 nucleotides) under uncultured bacterium. RNAcentral's name for it is "partial 16S ribosomal RNA". It matches the Rfam family "Bacterial small subunit ribosomal RNA", at positions 29 to 507 of the family's 1533-position model. The record is from RNAcentral.
AACGAACGCUGGCGGCAGGCCUAACACAUGCAAGUCGAGCGGACCUUUCGGGGUCAGCGGCGGACGGGUGAGUAACGCGUGGGAAUAUGCCCUUCUCUACGGAAUAGUCCUGGGAAACUGGGGGUAAUACCGUAUACGCCCUUUGGGGGAAAGAUUUAUCGGGGAAGGAUUAGCCCGCGUUGGAUUAGGUAGUUGGUGGGGUAAUGGCCUACCAAGCCGACGAUCCAUAGCUGGUUUGAGAGGAUGAUCAGCCACACUGGGACUGAGACACGGCCCAGACUCCUACGGGAGGCAGCAGUGGGGAAUCUUAGACAAUGGGGGCAACCCUGAUCUAGCCAUGCCGCGUGAGUGAUGAAGGCCUUAGAGUUGUAAAGCUCUUUCAGCUGGGAAGAUAAUGACGGUACCAGCAGAAGAAGCCCCGGCUAACUCCGUG